RNAcentral lists this ribosomal RNA (253 nucleotides) under uncultured bacterium. RNAcentral describes it as "partial 16S ribosomal RNA". It matches the Rfam family "Bacterial small subunit ribosomal RNA", at positions 524 to 776 of the family's 1533-position model. The record is from RNAcentral.
UACGGAGGGUGCAAGCGUUAUCCGGAUUCACUGGGUUUAAAGGGUGCGUAGGUGGGUCUGUAAGUCAGUGGUGAAAUCUCCGGGCUUAACCCGGAAACUGCCGUUGAUACUAUUUGUCUUGAAUAUUGUGGAGGUAAGCGGAAUAUGUCAUGUAGCGGUGAAAUGCUUAGAUAUGACAUAGAACACCAAUUGCGAAGGCAGCUUACUACACAAUGAUUGACGCUGAGGCACGAAAGCGUGGGGAUCAAACAGG